GAUAACGCCAAAUCCCGUUCCGGUGCUUCCUCCGCCGUGUACUGGUGUCUUGCGGUGUAGCUGCUGGACGGGUGUCUGCAAAACAACACCGGAGGGGGGUUUGAGCCCCGCGGCGCCUCCGGCGUGAGAAUGAGUACAGGCGUCGGAAAAUAUAUAGACGAGAAAUGAGUUAUCUAUAUAUGUGGUGGGUGAAGAUGUAUGGCUGCUGUGUAUGGUGGCUUAGAGUGUGUGAGAAAUAUGAGAGUGUGGAGAAGAAGAUCCUUAAGCCUCUCAUCCUUGGUCUAUUUAUAGGCCAAGGAUUAGGGUUUAAGGAUAUGUACCUUGGAUCCUGCUGUCCAUCUGUAGGGCUUGGAUGCUUAACACCUGUCCAGGUGUCAGCUAAGGAAUAGUAUUUUGGAGUGUUAUGAGGUUUGUCUUCAUAGUGUCAGUAGCUGGCAUUGGGUAUUGUCCUUGUCAUGUCAGACUGCAACUUGUUCAGGUGUCGGCUUGGACUCUUGUGUCCCGGUCCGGGGGAAGGAUGGAUAGGUUGCGUCUGGGUCCGGGAUCAUCUCCGGGGUCCGAGAUCAUCUCCAAGGUCCGGGAUCGUCUCCUGGUUCUGAGAUCAUCUCCUGGGUCCGGGACCAUAUCCGGGUCAUAUCGUGCUCGGGUCCGGAUUAAGCCAAUCCAGAGUCCGGGUUAAGCCAAUCCUUUUCAUGUUAGAAUGUGGCUUGUUCAGGUGUCGGCUUGGACUCUUGUGUCCCGGUCCGGGAGAAGAGUGGAUAGGUUGUGUUUGGGUCCGGGACCAUCUCCUGGGUCCGGGAUCGUCUCCUGGGUCCGGGAUCAUCUCCGGGUCAUAUCGUGCUCGGGUCCGGAUUAAAGCCAAUCCAGGAUCCAGAUUAAGCCAAUCCGGGUUAUACCCUAUCAUUUGCCCCCCACUCCCUUAUACAGAUUUUCUGUGUGAGGGAGUUGAGUGUAUUGUCCGGUGCGGGCUGAUUGCGGAGAAGGUGGAGUUUUUCAUUUGCCCCCCUGUCCGGGCUAACCUGGACAAGGUGGAAUUUUUGCUUUUGCGCCUCUAUCCCGGUUAAUCCGGUAUUAGGCGAAGAAUCCUGCUUUUGCUCCUCUGCCCGGGUUGACCCGGACUAGGUGUGAAAUCUUGCUCACCUAUCCAGGUGGAUCCAGACAUGGUGUGAAAUUUUGCUUUUGCCCCCCUGUCCGGACCGAUCUGGACGAAGUGGUGGGAUUCUGCUUUUUGCCCCCCGUCUGGGUUGAUCAGGGUAGGAUGUGAGAUUUUGCUUUUUGUCCCUCGGCCUGGGUUGAUCCGGACAAGAGGUGAGUCUGGUUAGAUUGCUCGGCAUGAGUCCGGACGGGAUUGCUCCACAUGUGUCCGGACGGGAUUGCUUGACAUGAGUCCGGGUGAUUGCUUUUUUUUUUUUUUUUUUGUUUGUUUGCCUUAGAAAAUUUUUUCCAAGUAAGAUAGCUCAUGAUUGAACCGGGGUACUCGAAAUUGAACCGGGGUAGCUUUUGCUUUUUGCCUUGGAAAAUUUUUCCAAGUAAGAGAUAGAUCAUGAUUGAACCCGGGUAGCUUUUUGUUUGUUUGCCUUGGAAAAUAAUUUUUCCAAGUAAGAGAUAUGUCAUAACUGGACCGGGGUAGCUUUUUGUUUGUUUGCCUUAGAAAAAUUUUUCCAAGUAAGAUAGCUCAUGAUUGAACCGGGGUACUCGGGUUCUCAAAAUUGAACCGGGGUAGCUUUUGCUUUUUGCCUUGGAAAAUUUUUCCAAGUAAGAGAUAGAUCAUGAUUGAACCCGGGUAGCUUUUUGUUUGUUUGCCUCGGAAAAUAAUUUUUCCAAGUAAGAGAUAUGUCAUAACUGGACCGGGGUAGCUUUUUGUUUGUUUGCCUUAGAAAAAUUUUUCCAAGUAAGAUAGCUCAUGAUUAAACCGGGGUACUCGGGUUCUCAAAAUUGAACCGGGGUAGCUUUUGCUUUUUGCUUUGGAAAAUUUUUCCAAGUAAGAGAUAGAUCAUGAUUGAACCCGGGUAGCUAUUUGUUUGUUUGCCUUGGAAAAUAAUUUUUCCAAGCAAGAGAUAGCUCAUGAUUGCACCCGGGUAGCUUUUUGUUUGUUUGCCUUGGAAAAUAAUUUUUCCAAGCAAGAGAUAGCUCAUGAUUGCACCCGGGUAGCUUUUUGUUUGUUUGCCUUGGAAAAUAAUUUUUCCAAGCAAGAGAUAGCUCAUGAUUGCACCCGGGUAGCUUUUGCUUUUUUGCCUUCAAAAAUUUUUCGAAAAAUUUUUCUAAGUAAGAGAUAACUAAAAAGUGAACCCGGGUAGCCUUUUGGUUGUUUGUCUUAGAAAAUUUUUUCCAAGUAUGAUUGCUUGGUCCGGACUCAUUAUUGAAUCAGGGUUAGUAUGAUUGCGUAGUCCGGACUCAUCUAAGUCAGGACUAGUAUGGUUGCUUAGAAAAACUUCUUGCUGAUUGCUUCUUGAAGACAUCUCAUAUAAGCCGAGAGUGCCUCAUUAUCAUACUCCCGUACCCGGAGUCCCUUCUAACUUUCUUCUACAGCUCAUGGAUCAUGUCCCAUAGAUUGGUCUGAUACUCGUUAUUCUCAUGGUCUUAGAUCAGCUCUUGGGUUGGCUCAUUCCUAGAUCGUUUGGAGCGGGACUUGCUCAUGAGCCUUUCUUCUUAUAACUGGAUCCUUCUUUGAAUUUUUUGCUCUAGCUUUUCUUCUUCUUCUCUCCGGAUGUGUUCUUUUUUUUUUGGCCAGGAUCUUUCGCCUUGUGGCAUCACUUUCUCUCUGCUUCUUUUUCCUUACUUUGUCACCAAUCCGGUCAAAGACGGAACCCCGGGAUUGGCGGGAAUUUUCAAAGUCUUCAGAAUCAGGAAUCAACCUGGGUCCUUUGAGGUUUUCGGCUCGUUGUUCCUGGUAUAACCGGAUUGCUUCGGCCAACUCUAUGUUGGUUAGAUAUGUAACAUGGUCUGCGGUCACCGGGACAUCGAUGCACUUUAACUGGUUCAUUUCAAUUGUGACCCGGGCAUCGUCUAGGUUGAUCCGGGUCUCUUCUGGAUUGAUCCCGGUCAAGAGUGGUUUAGAGAUGAGAUCCUGAUGUGGAUUGUCCUGGUCCACCGGGUUGAACUGCUCGGAUCGGGUUGAUUGGGUUUGGGUUUUUCCACCCCUUGUCAUGAUUAUAGUGAACAACUCAAACAAGAACUACCCAGGGAGUAUGCUUGCUUUUUGGUGAAAGUGUAUGUGUGCAGUAUAGACAGUAGUGGAAUGAUAGAAAUAGUGUAAGCAGAUAGUCAACUUACUACUUCAAGAAAUGCUAGAAAUAGUUAAAUGACAAAGGUGUAAGGGACUACAGGACAAGGUGUCUUGAUGUACUACAGACAAAUUUAGGGUUCUUCUAGACAGGGUUUGCUAACAUGCACACAACAAAGAGAAUCAUGGCUGAGAGGGUUUUGAAAGAUUUGAGUGCGUUUUGAAGCUUACAUGGUUGAAUCGGGACUCUCUUUUCGGGAGUUUGCUGAUGAAGAUGAGUCCAGUGGCACCGUGACCACAGGACGGAGAAUACAACCUUCCCCUCCUUCUAGCGCCAAAUGAUAACGCCAAAUCCCGUUCUGGUGCUUCCUCCGCCGUGUACCGGUGUCUUGCGGUGUAGCUGCUGGACGGGUGUCUGCAAAACAACACCGGAGGGGGGUUUGAGCCCCGCGGCGCCUCCGGCGUGAGAAUGAGUACAGGCGUCGGAAAAUAGAUAGACGGGAAAUGAGCUAUCUAUGUGUGGUGGGUGAAGGUGUAUGGCUGCUGUGUAUGGUGGCUUAGAGUGUGUGAGAAAUAUGAGAGUGUGGAGAAGAAGAUCCUUAAGCCUCUCAUCCUUGGUCUAUUUAUAGGCCAAGGAUUAGGGUUUAAGGAUGUGUACCUUGGAUCCUGCUGUCCAUCUGUAGGGCUUGGAUGCUUAACACCUGUCCAGGUGUCAGCUAAGGAAUAGUAUUUUGGAGUGUUAUGAGGUUUGUCUUCAUAGUGUCAGUAGCUGGCAUUGGGUAUUGUCCUUGUCAUGUCAGACUGCAACUUGUUCAGGUGUCGGCUUGGACUCUUGUGUCCCGGUCCGGGGGAAGGAUGGAUAGGUUGCGUCUGGGUCCGGGAUCAUCUCCGGGGUCCGAGAUCAUCUCCAAGGUCCGGGAUCGUCUCCUGGUUCUGAGAUCAUCUCCUGGGUCCGGGACCAUAUCCGGGUCAUAUCGUGCUCGGGUCCGGAUUAAGCCAAUCCAGAGUCCGGGUUAAGCCAAUCCUUUUCAUGUUAGAAUGUGGCUUGUUCAGGUGUCGGCUUGGACUCUUGUGUCCCGGUCCGGGAGAAGAGUGGAUAGGUUGUGUUUGGGUCCGGGACCAUCUCCUGGGUCCGGGAUCGUCUCCUGGGUCCGGGAUCAUCUCCGGGUCAUAUCGUGUUCGGGUCCGGAUUAAGCCAAUCCAGGGUCCAGAUUAAGCCAAUCCGGGUUAUACCCUAUCAUUUGCCCCCCACUCCCUUAUACAGAUUUUCUGUGUGAGGGAGUUGAGUGUAUUGUCCGGUGCGGGCUGAUUGCGGAGAAGGUGGAGUUUUUCAUUUGCCCCCCUGUCCGGGCUAACCUGGACAAGGUGGAAUUUUUGCUUUUGCGCCUCUAUCCCGGUUAAUCCGGUAUUAGGCGAAGAAUCCUGCUUUUGCUCCUCUGCCCGGGUUGACCCGGACUAGGUGUGAAAUCUUGCUCACCUAUCCAGGUGGAUCCAGACAUGGUGUGAAAUUUUGCUUUUGCCCCCCUGUCCGGACCGAUCUGGACGAAGUGGUGGGAUUCUGCUUUUUGCCCCCCGUCUGGGUUGAUCAGGGUAGGAUGUGAGAUUUUGCUUUUUGUCCCUCGGCCUGGGUUGAUCCGGACAAGAGGUUGAUAACGCCAAAUCCCGUUCCGGUGCUUCCUCCGCCGUGUACUGGUGUCUUGCGGUGUAGCUGCUGGACGGGUGUCUGCAAAACAACACCGGAGGGGGGUUUGAGCCCCGCGGCGCCUCCGGCGUGAGAAUGAGUACAGGCGUCGGAAAAUAUAUAGACGAGAAAUGAGUUAUCUAUAUAUGUGGUGGGUGAAGAUGUAUGGCUGCUGUGUAUGGUGGCUUAGAGUGUGUGAGAAAUAUGAGAGUGUGGAGAAGAAGAUCCUUAAGCCUCUCAUCCUUGGUCUAUUUAUAGGCCAAGGAUUAGGGUUUAAGGAUGUGUACCUUGGAUCCUGCUGUCCAUCUGUAGGGCUUGGAUGCUUAACACCUGUCCAGGUGUCAGCUAAGGAAUAGUAUUUUGGAGUGUUAUGAGGUUUGUCUUCAUAGUGUCAGUAGCUGGCAUUGGGUAUUGUCCUUGUCAUGUCAGACUGCAACUUGUUCAGGUGUCGGCUUGGACUCUUGUGUCCCGGUCCGGGGGAAGGAUGGAUAGGUUGCGUCUGGGUCCGGGAUCAUCUCCGGGGUCCGAGAUCAUCUCCAAGGUCCGGGAUCGUCUCCUGGUUCUGAGAUCAUCUCCUGGGUCCGGGACCAUAUCCGGGUCAUAUCGUGCUCGGGUCCGGAUUAAGCCAAUCCAGAGUCCGGGUUAAGCCAAUCCUUUUCAUGUUAGAAUGUGGCUUGUUCAGGUGUCGGCUUGGACUCUUGUGUCCCGGUCCGGGAGAAGAGUGGAUAGGUUGUGUUUGGGUCCGGGACCAUCUCCUGGGUCCGGGAUCGUCUCCUGGGUCCGGGAUCGUCUCCUGGGUCCGGGAUCAUCUCCGGGUCAUAUCGUGCUCGGGUCCGGAUUUAAGCCAAUCCAGGAUCCAGAUUAAGCCAAUCCGGGUUAUACCCUAUCAUA
Molecule: long non-coding RNA, 5795 nt
Filed under: Daucus carota (carrot)
Lineage: Eukaryota; Viridiplantae; Streptophyta; Magnoliopsida; Apiales; Apiaceae
Description: long non-coding RNA (DCAR_LNC005938)
Source: RNAcentral